Molecule: non-coding RNA, 47 nt
Organism: Dipodomys ordii (Ord's kangaroo rat)
Lineage: Eukaryota; Metazoa; Chordata; Mammalia; Rodentia; Heteromyidae
Source: Rfam
CCAAAGGCUCUUUUAAGAGCCACCUACAACUUUUAGAAAGGGACUGU